This 25356-nucleotide long non-coding RNA is filed under the name Gossypium barbadense (sea-island cotton). RNAcentral's name for it is "long non-coding RNA (GBAR_LNC017888)". The record is from RNAcentral. Lineage: Eukaryota; Viridiplantae; Streptophyta; Magnoliopsida; Malvales; Malvaceae.
UACAUGAUUGGAGUGCUAUACGAGUAAUCAUGUUGCAAGAAAAGUGAUUGGAGUGCUAUAUGUAUAAUUCCAGUUUCGCAGCUCUUAUUCUCGUUUCUGUCUAAUGCUUGGACAUCUUGGUUGUGGUUGAUUUUGAUGACUGUUAUUUUCUGUCAUGAAAUGAAUGAAAGUGUUUUUGGCCAACAACAACAACCAAAAAAAAAAAGAACACUAAAAGAACCACAUGCUAAGGAUGAAGGGAUAGUAGCCCCCAACUUCGAGCCAGAAGAGGCAGACACUGAACCAAAGAGAAGAAACAGUAAAUAGUAACUUUGGCUUGGAUCUUUAUGUCAACUUGCUUGUCAUAGCCUAGUAAAAGUAAAAUACUCAAAUCUAGAGCUAACAAGAAAUGUAAAACAUACACAGAUAAUCGCUUCCUAAUUCAAGAGUUCUUAGUUCAGUAUAGGAGAAGAAACAACGUAAGAUAAUAAAGCAAAUAACUCUUGAACCAUUAAGAUUCAUUGUUGAGUAAUCUUUAAAAAUAAUAAUAAUAAGGGUCACUCCUACUUCAAUAGGAGAGUAGAAUUUGCUGAUACUCAUACAACUACUCUUACAAUUGAGAUUAGCAUCUAGAUAAAAUUCCUCAUCAAUAAACCAAAACCUGAACAUUGUGAUUACAAUUGAUAAAUGAACAUUUAACUACCUCAACUUAGAAAUCACAACAUAUGGUAUAAGAUACCUAAAGGAAUAAAGCUACAAAAAUAACAAUUACAAUAUAAAAAAGACAACAAGAACAAAAUGUUAGGGUGAACCUAAUAGAACUUAGAGAGGUAAUCAUGUUAGCUCCGCUUGCUCAGAUUCCAUUCACAUGCAUAGAAAUGGUUGAGCUAGAUAAACACAAUGCCUACACAGGAUCCAAGAAGUCCAUUUACCUUGAUAUCAGUACCAGUGUAUUGAUAUAGUCCGUUUGCUUAAAGCUUCAUGCAUUUGGUUCUGGUACUAAUUUGUUCAACACUGUACCACGUUGAAGGCAGAAAUAGAUAACUUAAACAAAUUAGAAAUAGAUAAAUUAAACAACUUAGAAUAGAUAACAGUAGUCUCUCUAUCAUAUCCAUCACUUAGAAAUACAUUUGCCUUAUCUAUUUAUUUUUAAACUACUUUAAAAAAACAUUCAGUCAUCCUCAAAACUCAAAAAGUACCUCAGCCAAAAUGGUUAAAUUAGCAUUCAGCACAAGCAAUUUAGUAAAAAAAUUCCAAGUAUUUCGAUGAAAAAAUACUCAUUAAAAAAAAGAAUUUUGGAUGAAUUACAAAAGCAGAUCAAAGCCUUGUGCCCUGUUAAGUCACAGUGAAUAUCUUAACCAUCAAAUUAACAUAUUAAAUUCUAUCAAAAUGAAUGAUUAAAAUUGGGAUUAACAUAUUAACCAUCAAAUUAACAUAUAUGAAAUACCAAACAGGCAUUAAAACAAACACAUGGAAAACAUAAGAAUAUAACUAGUUCUUCUUUUUUGUAUGCGGCGUAGUCAUUCUACUGCUAAAAUUUCCACUUAGCUGGGAAGAAAAUUGAUCUGCAAAUCCUUCAUAAUCAUUCAUUACAUUCAUAUCAUCAUAUAAUUUUGAAUGACAAGUCUCAAUUGCUUCUCUCUGAUCUUUCUAUCAACAAUUAUUCAACCAGUAUUGCCAUCAAUAUUUAGAAAUCAGAGUGACUCUAGAACCUAAUUUUCUUUAAUCCCCUAAUUACAGAUAGACAAGCUGAUAAAAUUUAGACCGUAAAUGAACAUAUAAGAUCUUACCUUAUCCUUCAAAACAACGGAGCUACUUCCUCCUAUCAGAAUGAUUGCUUUUCAUCAACAGGAUUCGAAUCUGAAACUGACUCCAUAAAGGUAGGUUCCUCAAUAGACCCUUCACUCUCAUAUUCAUCCGGCACUUUACCGUUUUCAUUUGCCACAGUUGAGUCAGAUUCAUCUUCUUUCUUCCCAAAUAACUUAGAUGGAAGAAUAGAUGAGACAGCCGCUUUUGCACUUCUCUUGGCUGCUUCAUGGAGGAAGAGAGAUUUUUGGAUUUUGCUAAAAGUCCAGCGGGACUGUGACUGUGAUUGUUAUAUGUGUAUGAAUCGAGAUCGGUUUUUUUUAAAGUUCUGCAGAGAAAGAAAAAAUAGCUUUCCAAAUUAGGGCGUUUGAAUUGGGGUUGAGGAAGAAAAGAUAGCAAUGGGCUCGGAGUUAAAAAUUUUAAAGGACGUAUGUUUGUAAAGUUGGGGGGUUUCAAGGGGGGAAAUUAGGGAUUUUAGGAGGGAAAGUUGGGGAUUUUGGGGGGAGGGGAUUUUAUAAAAAUGGCACUAUUUUUCUAUAAAUUAUUUUUUUUGACGUUUUUUAUAAAAACGCCGCUAAAUGUUUUUCUAUAUAAAAUGGUUAUUUUUUAAAAGUAAAAUUAUUUUUUGUGGCGCUUUUUUAUAAAAACGCCACUAAAUGUUUUGCUAUAUAAAAUGACUAUUUUUUAAAGUAAAAUUAUUUUUUGUGACGUUUUUUAUAAAAACGCGCUAAAUGUUUUGCUAUAUAAAAUGACUAUUUUUUAAAGUAAAAUUAUUUUUUGUGGCGUUUUUAAUAAAAACGCCGCUAUUGCUUACCUUUUGCGGCGUUUUUAUAAAAACGCCGCUAAAUAUUUUGCUGUAUAAAAUGACUAUUUUUUAAAGUAAAAUUAUUUUUGUGGCGUUUUUUAUAAAAACGCCGCUAUUACUUACCUUUUGCGGCAAAAUGUUUUGCUAUAUAAAAUGACUAUUUUUUAAAGUAAAAUUAUUUUUUGUGGCGUUUUUUUAUAAAAACGCCGCUAUUGCUUACUUUUUGCGGCGUUUUUUAUAAAAACGCCACUAAAUGUUUUGCUAUAUAAAAUGACUAUUUUUUAAAGUAAAAUUAUUUUUUGUGGCGUUUUUCUUUAAAACGCCGCAAAAAAUUAUUUCAUUUGGAAUAAAACGACACUGUUUUGCUAUGCUAAAAAUCUUUUAUUUUGUAUGUUAAAAAUUAUUAGUUAAGUGAUUUUAUAAAACAUUUAUUAUUAUUUUUUAUAAGUUGAAUUUUUAUAAAAAAAAUCAAGUACUCUCAAAAUAAAUAUCGUAUAUUUUAAUAAGAAAAAAAUGAUUAAAUAGUUGUAAUUAAUUAUUAAGUUACAAUUAUCCAAUGUAAGCAAUUAAUUUCUCACAUAUCAAAUUUCUAUUAAAGAUUGAGACAUUAUCAGAUCUAAUCUCCAUUUUAUUAGAGAUAUUUCUUCCUAACUAAAAUAUAAUUAUUUUGCUAGAUGUUUGAUGUAGAAUGAUUUUAGUUUUUGUAUUUUAUUUUUAUUUGUUAUAAUUUGGUCCUAUAUAUCCAAAAUAGAUAGUUACCUAUCCGUAUCAAUUUGUUACAUUUUUUUAUUUAUUAAUUUUUUAAAAUCUAAUAUUUAAAUAUAUCAAAUGGUUUAAAUUAAAUAUUUUUUAGUCAUAAACACCGCUAAUGUUACCUUUUCCGGUGUUUACAGAAGAAACGCCACUAAUAAAUUAAAUUCUUGUAAUGAAACAACACCGUUUUGAAAAAUUCUAAAUCAUAUUAGCGGCGUUUUGGCUAUAAACGCCGCCAAAGCUCGCAUAUUUUACAAUUUUUUAUAUUCAAUUAUUGUAUAUUGCAUAUCAAUUUUAAACUAAUAAUUUUUACAAUUUAUUAUUUCUCUUUUACAUUUAUAUAAGAACUUAUUUAAUAUAUAAAUUAAAAAAUACUAAUUAAUCUAAACCUUAAACCCUAACUCGACCCCGAAUCUUUAAACCCUAAAUCACUAACUCUUAACCCCAAACCCCAAACCCCAAACAACUAACCUCUAAACAUUAUUUAAUAUAAAAAAUAAAAAACACUAAUUAAUCUAAAUCAUAAACCAUAACCCGACCUUGAAUCCCUAACCCCUAACCCUUAAACAUUACUUAAUAUAUAAAUUAAAAUGCACUAAUUAAUCUAAACCCUAAACCCUAACCUGACACCGAAUCUAUAAACCCUAAAUCCUUAACUCUUAACCUCUAACCCUUAACCCCUAACCCUUAACCCAUAAACCUUAAAUCACAACCCUUAAGUUAGAGUCCCUAAUCCACAAUCCCUAAUUCCAUAAUCUAUAAACCUUAAAAUUGCAACUCUUGAACCAGCCCUAAAUCCUAAAUUAACCAUAUAUCUACCCUAAACCAUAUAUAUUAAACCCUAAACUAUAAUAAUAAUUAAAUUAAAUAUUUUAAAAUUAAUACUAGCGUAUCUUUUACAAUUAUAUUUGAAAUUAUUUAAUAUAUAAAUUAAAAAUCAAUCAAUCAUGUACACAAAAAAAUUUAAAAUUAUUUUAAAUAAUAGUAUUUUAAUUUCUUCAUUUUUAACAAAUAUUUUUCUAUGUUUUUUUAUUUCAAAUUAUUUUUACAUGUCAUUAUUUCAAAUUUAUCCAUUUUUAACAAAUAUUCAAUUAAAAAUAAAUUAAAUAGUAAAUAGCAGAUAAAAUGUUUUUGCGGCGCUUUUUCAAAAAUGCCGCUAAAGCCCCGAGCAUUAGCGGCGCUUUUUUAAAAACGCCGCUAAAGAUCUGAGUAUUAGCGGCGCUUUUUUAAAAACUCCGCUAAAGAUCUGAGUAUUAGCGCGCUUUUUCAAAAACGCCGCUAAAGAUAUGAGCAUUAGCGGCGUUUUUUUAAAAAACGCUGCUAAAGAUCUGAAAGGUAGAAAACGAUGUCGUUGGGCUUAGGUUUUUUGCGGCGUUUUUUCAAAAAACGCCACUAAAAAUCGAGCAUUAGCGGCGCUUUCCUGGAAGCGCCGCUAGUUGUCGAUCUUUAGUGGCGUUUUACGUAAUGCGCCGCUAAUGCUCGAUUUUUAAUGACGUUUUUUGUUCAAACGCCGCUAAAAAUGCCGCUAAAAGCCUGUUUUGGUGUAGUGAAUCCAAGAAAUUGAUUAACAUGGUAAAAUGAUAUAACUUUAUCAUUACCAUCAUUAAAAAAUAAAAAAAAAUCACGAGAAUUAAGGGCUAAAAUUACUCUUGAUGAACAUUUAUAGGCACAAGUUUUUAAUUAAUAUUUAUGUAAUUAAAAAUAGUCCCUUUAAGAUGAUUAUUAAUUAUUAUUAUUACUACUGACAAAAUUUUACAUUCUUUUCUGUAAUUUUACAAAGUUUUUAAUUAAUAUUUAUGUAAUUAAAAAUAGUCCCUUUAAGAUGAUUAUUAAUUAUUAUUAUUGCUACUGACAAAAUUUUACAUUCUUUUCUGUAAUUUUACAAAUUUUUUAAUUAAUAUUUAUGUAAUUAAAAAUGGUCCCUUUAAGAUGAUUAUUAAUUAUUAUUAUUGCUACUAACAAAAUUUUACAUUCUUUUACAUUCUUUUCUGUAAUUUUACAAAGUUUUUAAUUAAUAUUUAUGUAAUUAAUAUUUAUGUAAUUAAAAAUAGUCCCUUUUUCUGUAAAGACGUUUUACAUUCUUUUCUUCUCCCACGCCUCCUCUGCCAUUCUCUUAUUCUCUUCGAUAUUUUCUCCCCCCAUCUGUUGCUUUCUUCUUCUUUUUCCCCCCCUUCUUUUACCUAAUUGCUUCCCAAAUAUCUCUUCAGAUUGCUUGCCCAAACCCUGGUUUGCUCUUUCCUCUUUUAACUUUCCAAGAUUUUUCAUGUGUAUGUUAGUGGAAUUUAUUAAUAUAUAGAAAUAGAGAAGUGAAAACUGAAAAGAAAAGUUGGAUUUAUCUAUUUAUGGCUUGCUGCUCUGCUUUAAUAUCUGUUGCUUGGCUGCUUAGCACUUAAUUGGACAAUGAAUAAUCUUUCAUGAUCCCAUGUAUUAUAUAUAUUAGUGAUAAACAUGAGAAUGCUUGUUAGUACUGCUAAACAAAGGGGAGAUUGGCAUGAAUGUUAAAUGUUUGGUAAUGAAAAGAAAAAAGAUGUAGGAUAUGUCUACUUAAGAUAUUUGUUUAUUAUCUGUAUUUAAACUCAAGAUAGAUUCUUGUUCUUUAGUUUUUGUGUUUUGGUUUAACAGAAGAAUUGGUAAUGGUCAAGUUCUAAAAGGAAAAUAUCUUUUUGUUUGUUUGCCUGUUUCUUAUGGGAUUAUUUAAGUCUUAAUGGCUGUUCAUUUUCUGCUCUAACAUAUAAAUUAAUUGAUGAUGAAUUGAAUUUCUUAGUUUAAUUCUAUGUGUUAUUCUGUUGUAAAUUUGCAGGUUAUUUGUGAGAAAUACUAGUGGGAAGUCAAAAUGCAGGCUUGUAAUGGAGCUUGCAAUUAGUACUCAAUUUGUUUUCCAAAUGUUUCUGAAAAUUUUCCUUCUCCUUUAAUUUAUUCCCUUCUAAACUCUACCAGGAUGAGCUGUUUUUUGCUGAAAUAGAGUAUACGCAGAAAAAGGUAAGUAUUUUCUUCCGUUCUUGUUGCUCUUCACAUCGCUAUUUAAUUGAUAUUUUGUUGUAACUGAUAUUUUGUAUUUUCACAAUUCCUAGCUGCUGCUAGUUUUCGCUCUCAUGCCUAAUAUUUCUUAUGCUUCUCAACACUCAAUAUCUAUUUCUCACUUAUACUUCUUUUUUCUUUGCUCACUUAUACACACUACACAUCUAAACAUGUAUGUAUAUAGGCUAUAUAAAUCGACUUAGAGGCUUAACCUUACUGCCAUACUUUUAGCAAGCUACCACCUUGCUUAGGUUCUUGCCACAUUGUUUCUAUCCAUGCAUUGUCAAUUUAAAACCAUUUAUAACUUUCCACCUAGCAAGCCAACUUAUCAACUUUUCUUUAUGAUAAGCCGACCUUGAAGUGGAUUUGACUUUUUAAACUUCCCCUCAAAUCCAGCUUUUUCAUUAUAUGUUUUUCUUUUAAGUUUGUGGAAUAUGUUUGUCUUCAGUGAAUUUGUAAAAAUUUCGGUUAAUUAAUAUUUUGUCUUGCAAUUGACUAGUUGAACGUUUUCAUUCUUCAGUGAAUUUGUAAAAUAUCGGUUAAUUAAUAUUUCAUCUUUUAAGUUGGUGUCUCUUAUUUGAGAUAGUGUAUAGAUAUUUUGAAAGUGUAAAAAGGGUUAAAAACCAAACAACUCGUGAGCUGAAUGAAUAUACAUUGUAAAUGUUCAAAGAUUGAGACAAAGAUAGGGUUUGGACUUAGUGAGCAUCAUGUAAGAGCAGACGACAGAAUCAUCCCAACAAACGACACAUGACAAUGUUUUUUUUAGGAUGAAUGCAUGGAUUACAACCCCCCAAAUAAAUAAAGCAUGCCAAAACAAAGAAAGGGUUGAAAUUUGGUUUGGGUUUUGAUUCCAGAAACCCUAUGCUAACAUCAUUUGUUUUGUCCAUUAUCUUAGCAGCCAAUACCAUCUGUUUCAUCAUGCAUAAAAGUUCAGGCAACAAAACUCAUCCUAUGAAAAAAAAGAUAAACUCACCGGUGGUGGAGAAGAGGAACAAAGCACCAGCAGAGGAAGAAAUAACCAGCAGAGGAACAAAGAACCAGCACCAUCAGAAGAACAAAGAAUCAGUACCAGUAGAGGAUCAAUGAAGCAGCAGAGGAACAAAGAAGCAACGAUGAGAGAAGAGAUGAGAGCAAAGAACCAGUUUGUGUGUAACAGGAUAAAAAAGUAAAAGAGCAGUUUAGAAGCACUUUUUGGCCGGAAAAGCAGCAAAUUUCUGCUUUUUCAUCUAGCCAAAAGUACUUCAGAAAAGUUAGUCUACCGGCCCCAAAUGAACUUUGUUCUUCAUUACUUUUCACCCAAAAGCACUUUUGGGUGUAAAAGUGCUUUUCAACUGGCCAGAAGAACUGGCCCUUAGCCUAUUAUGUCUCCAGCUAAAUGAAGAAACGACCCAGUCUAAGCUGCAAACUGGUUUACUCUACUAUUCAACUUUGACAUACGUGAAAAGUUGAAAAUAAAAGUAUUCAAUCGAAUCAAGUGAAAAAUUUUGAGUUAAUUAAGUUGAUAAGUUUUAUUUUAUUAUCCUAACUCAAUUUGAAUUUUUUUUCAAUUCGAGUCGAGUCGAAUCGAGUAAAAUUAUUCGAGUUAAAAAAUUAAACAUGUCAAAUUAAAAUUUUGUUACAGUAUAACUAAUUUCAUAUUAGAGUACAUAAAUUGAAAGUAUAUAUAUUAUAAACUAUUUCAAAGCAAAAUAAGAGAAAAAAAAGCAAGUUAUUUUAGUAUAAUAAACUUAAAUUGUUAAUUUAUUUAUUUAGGUCCCAAAAUUAUUGUUUUAGAUUUUUUUUUAAAAAAAUAUUAGUUUAUUUAUAUAUUCUUUAGAUUUUUUUUAGAUUUCUUAGUUUUUUUUAAUUCUUAUUAAAAAUAAAUUCUGGAAUUUUUAUAAAUAUUUUGAGUUUUAAAAAUUAUUUUGAUUUUUUUAAUUUUAGUUGUGAGAGAGACUAAUUUACUCAUUUUAAAAAUUAAUAGGGAUCAAAAGGGUAUUUACACCAAUAUGUUAUUUGAGUUAUUCUAAUUAUUCGAGUUACUUGAAUUGUAAAAUUCAACUUAACUCAAACUCGAAACUCAAAUUACUUAUUUGAGUUGACUCGAAAAAUCGAAUUACUCGAUUUGAUUAACUCAAAAUUCGAAGAAAAAAAUUAUUAUUUUUAAGUCAAAUUGAAUUUUCCUCACCCCUAAUCAGAUCCGAAUUUAAGGCAGUGACCCCGUCCCCCGUAAAAUUUGAAAAUUUUAUUUAAAGCUCCUUGAAGUUUUAAUUUUUUUAUUUUGAUAUUAUAAUUAGUGUUUUAAAAAAGAAAACAUUUUUGUCCCCCCAAAGUUUUUCAAAGUUUUUUGUAAUUGGAUUUUAUUUUGUAAACUUUGUCAUUUUUUAAUAAUAAAUUUAGUAACAUUUUUAGUUUAAUUUGGUAGACUAAUACAAAGUAGUACCUUAAUAUUAAUUUGGUAAAAAUAAAGUUUAGUAAUUGCAAUAUCUAAGUAUAAACGGUAUUUAAAUAUAAAUAACGUAGAAAAUAAAGUUAAAUAAUCAUAAUAUCUAAUACAAAUUGAGCAUUUAAUUUAUUUUGCUUUCUCUAAAUUUAAGUAAUUAAGAUUAUCUCAAAUUUAAAAAUAUUUAAAAGUAGGCACAACCCGUAGGGUUGGACCUACUUUGAGCAUAUAUAUCUCGCCUCCCUUAUCAACAAUUCUGGCUUCCCUCUGACCCUAGUAAACUAGUUGCUAGUGACAUGCAUCGUUUGACUUCGUCAAGCCUCUAUUGGCAGAAAAUCCCUUCCUCAAAUCACAAUAAUAAAGCAACAAUUCAUUAAAAAACAAACAACAAUGAAAACCCAACUUAUUUAAUUUUCAAACAACACUUCUUACACAAUAAUUUCAACUUCACUUUCAUCUCGCAACAAAUGGUGGGAUCAUUGAAAAUUGUUGAAAUGGUGGAAUUUGUGAAGAAAUCAUUCAAGGUGAGGACUACUCUUGUAAAUGUCCUCUUAGGUAUAACACAGAGCAUUGUGAGUAUCUUGAAGAUAUUUUGUUUCCUUGAGAUUGAAUGCUUGGCUGAAAGCAAAGUAUGUGAAUGCCUUUUGGACUGAAAAGAAAGUGUUGAUUGUUUACUCCUAGGAAAAAAAAUAGAACAGGUUCAAUUGUCUCCUCUCUUUCCUUAUUUUUUUUCUCAUUUGAUUAUCCUUUUUUUCAUAUUUUUUAUUUUUUUUACUUAUCUUAAAUAGAAAGUCACUACUUUCGUAUGUGCUCUUACAUGUUACAAAAUCCAAAUCCUUGCACAUACCUCUGUGGAUUCAAGUAUGUUUGAAUUCCUCAUUAGGGAAGCAAGUAAUAGGAGUACAAAUGUAUGAUUCAUCUCUCCCUAUCUAGAAUUGAAGUUCAAUUUAGCUUUGUUGAUACAUGAUAUUAAUGAAAGUGUCGAAGGAGGGGAGGGGUGUUGAAGGAGAUCGAUUCACCAAUUCUAGGGUUGAGAGCAAGACAAGUAGAGGGGUGAGGGUCUAACUGGAUCCAAAUUGUAGUAGGGAUAUAACAAUACUCCCCCUAAUUGAGAGGUAGGUUAUAAAGUGACUGUACCUCAAGACCAUUAGUAGGUCGCCCUCAUGGGUAGUGGUUGUUGCAAAUAAAGUAAUAGGUGGUAAGUUGUAAAAAACCUACCCAAACAUUUCAUUUUGUAUUUUAAUGAAGGGUAUAGUUAUUAGCCCGAUGACUUGGGAAUAUUCAGUGCCUUACGAGGCUACUAAAAUUCAUGUAUAAUCUUUUUAAUAAUGUGUUGGCGGAUGGUACUCCAUUUAUUUUUUACUUGUAUAAAUUUUUGCUUAGUGAUUUAGCGGGUGGUAUGCCCAUUGGCUUGAUAAUUUGAAAAUGUAUAACGUAUACUUGAGUGGUGCAAUUGUCAUGUAAAGGAUCCAGAUUUAUACAAUAGAGAUUGUUGCGUGUAUAUUGUGGAUGCAGUUAUUAGAAAUGUAAAAUAGAAGAGGUUUAAUCCAUCCAUUGGCUAUAUAAAAUGCAAGAUGUGCGACUCGGUCGCUGGUAAUAUACAAACCGUAAGAAAAUGCAUACUAUCCGUUGGCGUAAGAAAUGUGUAAUGUCCAUUGGCGAUAUAAAACAUAAGCGGUGCAAAAAUCAUUCAUUGAUGAUAUAAAGUGCAAGAAGUGCAGAUCGUUUAUUGACGAUAUAAAAUGGAAGAAGUGUAAACCAUUCAUUAGUGAUAUAAAAUGUAAGCAAUGUGUAUUGUUCGUUAGAAUAAGGACAUAAGAAAUGUGGACUAUCCGUUUGAAAUGCAUACUCAUUGGUAAUAUAAAACGUAAGAAAUGUGCACUAUCCAUUAUGUAAGAAAUGCAUAAUGUUCGCUAAAAUGUGAGCAAGAGGAUUGUUCAUUGUUAUAAAUAAUGGUAAUAAAUGUAGCUUUUGGCCUUAGUUUUUGACGAGUAUUAUUGAAUAGGUGUUUAUGAGACGAUAAAAAUGGUGGUGCUGCUUCCGCUCGAGGCGAAAGGCUUACAAUAGAUCUUGCUCCUAGACGCAUGAGAGAGAGGUUUAUGGGAAAAAAUCAUACGUCGAUCACAUUACCGUCAGCUCUUGCAGCCCAGAAUUACCUAGAGAUUAAGAUCUUCCCAAGUCGAAUCAAAACCAUUGACCAAGUCUACUUGACUUCAAUUUACGUGGUGAAAGUAGAGUUACAAAUAUAACAUGUAGAAUUUAUAAAUAUGACAUAAAAAUAAAUAGUGAGAUGACUGUCUGCAAGAGUCCUUUUCUAAAAAUAUACAUUAUAAAAGUAUACAUAUAUGAAAGGGGUAUAACCAUCCGCUGGAACCCCUCUCGAGUUCCCUUAAAAAUGAAAUAUAUAAUGUAUAUGAAUAAGAUAGAAAGAAUUACCACUUACCAGCCUUACCAGUCCUGUUCAGGUAUCACCAUUUUUCCAUUUCCCAAGAACAAAACCCAAGCACAAAUGCCAAAGUUAAAGAAAAAGAAUAAAAUUUAUCCACAAAUGAAAAAAGUUAUGACAAUCUACAAGGACAAACUUGAAAACAUCAAUCCAAGGUUUAUUCAGAUUUCUAUGAACUUUUCAUCAAUUUGCUGAAGUAAUUUAAAAUUAAUAAGGAUCACAAAAAAAGUAAUAUUAAUCAAUUGCAAUGAUAGAAUUGAACCCUUCUUUUGCAUAUUUGCAAAAGGUUCAUUAAGAUUAACCGAACACUUGAACUUAAAUAUUUUACCACUGUAUUUAUUAUUCCUGAUGCAUUUGAAUUCAUGAAAAUACUUAAAAUAACUAUUACCAAACCCAUAUUUUAAUUGAUUUAUACCAUCACCCUCAAGGAUGGCAUCAAGUAAAACAUUUUCCACUAACUCUUUUAUAUAGAAAAAUAUAAGUUUUAACUAAUUUCAUUUAAUAUAAACCAAUAUUAUAAUUAGUAACUUAUGUCAUGAGGCUAGAACUUUAGUCUCGCAAUCCGUGUGACCAUAGACGAUUUCUUCACUUUAAAUGCUCCUAAGUCAACCUAGCUCUCAAAAAGUGAGAUUUCACACUGGGAAUUCUCCAAGGCAUCGAAAAUAAAGCAGAAGAAACUUAAAGGAAAAGAAUGAACGAGAGAAUAUAAUAGCCACAAGAAAGCAAAAUCACUUCAAAUGUUUGAGUAAAUGCUUUAAAAGUAUUGUAGUAGGCCAAUUUGCCCAGGCCCAAAAUCACAAAGAAAUAAAAACCAAAAAAUAAUUAAAUGUCCCAAAAUGUCCAGUUACAAACCAAAAAUUAAAAACCCAAAAUUAAGCCUAGCCCAAACCCGAAUCUCCCAAGCCCAGACCUAACCAUCAGCCCAAAUACCCGCAGCCCCAAAAAAAAAUAGAAACCCUAGGCAACAAACUAACAGCCCCGCCGCUCUCCAUGCGCACAGAAGCCCGACUCCUCCUCCCACGAGCCAUUCACCACGCACGUAGCGCCAUCACGAGCCUCCAGCUGGCCUCGUACGGCCUCCCACCCGUAUACCUGCAAGAAGGACACAGCAAACGCAACACAAAAAAAAACAAAAAAAGCAGCGAAUAAAAGAAAAAUAGAUAUUUUUCGUUGUAGUUUUUUGUUUUAUCUUCGGCUAUAAGCCAUUAAAUCAAGAUGGGUAAAAGGGAUAUAGGCACGCAUAUUAUAAAAAAAACCUCAGAUACAGAGAAUACAGAGAUUGUAAAAAAAAUAAUCAAUACAACAAAGAUUUUCUUUCUUUUUUUUUUCCUUUUGGCGAUUCUAUUUUUUUUAACGUUCUUCUCUCUUUUAUUUUUUGUUGUUGUUAUUAAUACAUAUAUAAGCACAUAUAUAUAUAAAAUAAAAGAGAUCGGGGAGGGAGAGUUACCUUGGGGCCGAUCCUGGCUCUCUCUGUCGGCAUCGGAGUAGGGGCUGGGAUCGGAGACGCUCAGAUGCUCCCAAAGCGCAGAACGACGCUGAGAGAGAGUUUUUCUCUCUUUUCUUUAAUUUUUUCUUUUAGGUUAGGAAAAUGUUUAAUAACUUAGGGUUUUAUUUUUUUUAAACCACGAAGGAAACGACGCCGUUUAAUGGCCUGCACCCCGCCCGAUGACCCGAUCCAACUGCGAGUAGAUCCGCGCGUUUUGGUAGGGGGAGGGAUAUUUGCGCAUCAAGUCCUUCUGCUUUUGUAUCGUAGUUCAAUCAAGUUUUUUUGUUACUUUAAUUUUGGUCAUACAAUUUUCUGCUGAUUGCAAUUCGAUCCCUAAUGGAACGCGGCGUUUUGGGAGAGCAGGGAUUAAUUUUCCUUUUGACCCCUCACUGUUAUGCGCGUGUUCAAUGGGGUUCGCAUCUUUGUAUUCAUUUCGAAUUGGCCCUCAAAUUUCCAUUUUGAUUUCAAAAUCAGUCCUUCGGUUAUUUUUUACUGUUAUUAUUAUUAUAAUUAUUUUAAAUUAUGUUUUAAUUUCAGCUUGGUCUUUAAGAACAUAAUUUUAAAAUCGCACUAGUACUUAUUUUAAUAUAUUUAUUUACGGCCUAUUUUAAUACUUAGUUUGACAUUAUUUUUUUAACCUAUUAUUAAUAUAAUUUUAAGAUGUAGUAUGCUGCUAUUUUUUUUUUAAAAUCAUCAUUAACUUGUUUUACAUUUAUCAUGCAUUAUUUUUUAGUCCAUUAUAUACUCUUAUUUUCAAACUUAACAUGUUAUUAUUUGAUUCGUUAUUUAUUAAUAUAUAUAUUUCUAUAAGAAUUUGAUAUAAUUUGUAUAUAUUUUAAUGUUUUGUUUUAGGUUAUAUCUUAAAGUUCAUUUUUGCAUAUCUAUAAGCUAAAUGUUUGCAUAAUAAUUUUUCCUUUUUUAAAUACUAUUAUUCAAUGUUGUUAUUUUUCACCUUAAGUCUAUUUGGAAGCCAUGUCUAUAGUUUAUGGUAAAUUUUUAUAUAGAAUAUAUUAAUUAUAUUGUUUUUGUCUUAGUGUACCUUUCAAAAUAGAUUAUUGGUUUAUUUAGAUUUCGAGUUUUGAUAUUGUUAUUUGUAUAAUGUGAUUAAAAUCAUUGUUGUUAUUCUUAUUUGCAUUUAUCUAUUGCUCAUUCAACUAUCUUGUAUAUCAUAUUUCAACAUUCAAUCAUAUUACAUUUGUUUUAAAAUGGUGUUUCAUUGAAACAUUCAAAUCAUUUUAUUUUCAUAAACCUUCAAAAUGCUCGGUAUCCAAAGUUCUCGAGAGGAUUGUGCCCUAACUUACUAGGCUUCAAUUCUCUUUUUUGAUUUUAAAUAGCCGAAUACCCUUUUUUCAAUUUGAACAUAGAAAUUACAAAAUAAAAACUCAUUCUUGGGAAUUUGAUGCGUUGUGUCCUAACGUAUUGGAUAUGACAUAUUGUUCUCGAGACGAGGAUUUCUCUAACAAAUAAAAAUAAAGGCAAUAUUCGAUAUUUAGGAAUUUUGUGAAAUCGAACCCUAACUUACUGGGUUUUGAUUUUUUUCAUUUGACCCAAGUCGGAUAUCCUUCUCAAAUGCAUAGGUUUUAAAAGUCAAGAGAUAAAUUUAAUUUUGAGGAUUUAAAAUGUCGCACUCUAACUUACUGAGUGUGAUGAUUUAUUUCUUCGAAAUAAGUGAAUCUUAUCGUCCAAUUCAUUUUACUCAAGUUUUCUUUUCAAAGGUUCGUAUUUUAAAAUCUUUUCAAAAUUUUGACAUUAAGACAUUAAACAAUCAAUUCGGUACCAAUUUUGAGUGUCACGAGGGAGCUAACCCUUCUUCGUGCGUAACCGACUCCCGAACCUGUUUUCUCAAAAUUCACAGACCCAAAAUUAUUUUCAAGGAGAUCCGAUCACACCUCAAUAAAAGAUUGGUGGCGACUCCCCAUUUCCAUUUUUAAAAUCGAUACCCAAUUUUCAAAUUCCAAAAAAAAUGGUUUCGACAAGUAUAUUCAGUAAAUUUGAUUGGAAUACAAUAGGAUACUAUGGGAUGUAAUGGGGUUUAAUGGGAUGAUUACAAAAAGGGGAAGAUCCCAAAUCCAACGAUACAAAUUUACUUUAAAUCAACGAUUGAGAUUAAACCAAUCUACAAUUUGAGAUAAUUAAGGGAUUUACAUGAUCCCCUAAGAUUAAAAAUCAAAUCUUCUAAGAUUACAAAUAUUCUAAGAUUAGUUUCCAUAUUUUCAAUGGCAACCCUAGUUUUCCUUAAGUGGUUCACGGAGCCACCAAGGCUACAAGUAAAUGAGCUUCUCCACAUAUUCUAUGAUCUGGGCCAGUUCAAAUGGGCUAAAUAAACGUCAUUUAAUUAGUUGACCUCCAUGGGAAGCUCUUUGUGCAUUACUCACAGGCUUUGAUCCGUAGCCCGUGACAUUCUUCCCUACUCAUUCUCGUAAUGCCCUCUUUCUAUCCUAAGAAUGAUAUUGGUUUGUCUCGUCUUCGAACUAUUCGAUGUCUUGGUCAAUUCCUAACUAGACUCUCUAUUGGUUAGUUCUGCCCCUCGGAAUAUUUGUCUUGGCUUAUGUCUAUGUCGUCACCUAACUUGAACCGUUUCUCUCAUUGGUACAUAUCAUUUGCAAGAGCACACAACUCUUUCUUGCACCCUAUUGUGACUUGCCUCGAUCUAGAUCCCUUUGAUUCGCACAAAAAUGCUUAAGUAUGCUCACAUUAAAAACUGGGUUAACCUUAAGUUGUCCCCAACUCUAAUUUGUAGGCUCCUCAGUUUAUUCGCUUCAGAACUCUUAAAGGGCCCUUGUGUCAUUGCCAAGCUAAUGUUAAGUCAAAAUGUAAAACAUUAGAUAAGUGUUUAAGAUGUACCUCACUCGUCACAUUUACUCAUUUUGACUGCAGUUUGCAUCACCACUUUUCCCCUAAGUUUUGAUGCAUAACCCACAUUUCUCAUAGGUGGUAGCCCCACUAAUAGUUUAAUAGGCUUCAUAUCGAUUUUCACACCUCUAGCAUUUUUAAAGAGGUCUUCGUAGCACUCUGAUCUACCAAGUUGGAGUUUUUACCACAAUGAACAUCCUCAACUAAUUGGAUUACUGACAAUACAUUGGUUACUUUUUUCUUGUCAUGACUCACCGACACCACGCAUUAUCGUUGACGAGUAUCCAAAUACAUUUGUAAUCGACAAAAGGAAUCAAAAGAGCAUUAAUUGGUAAAAGAAAUCCAAACCAAGAACAAAGUCAUAAUCAUCUAAAUGAAUUACCUCGAAACUUUCCUUACUUUUCCACUCGCCGAUUUGUAGGUCAACUCUUUCUACUACUCUCACUAUUAGAACCUCUUUGAAAUUAACCAUCCUGAUCCUCUUAGUCGAUUUGCUAACUGAGAGACCAUGUUUACCAAUGGAUUUCUCCAAUAUAAAUAAGACAGAUGCCUUUGUAUCAAUAAGAGCACUUCUUCAACUUGCGAUGUUGAUGUCCACAAACAUCAAUCCUCUCUAAUUACGACCCUUCUUCGUUUUAGCAUAAUAGAGUAUCAUUGAUCCAAGCUUCAAUAGCUUGUCCUUAUCGAGCUCCGUUUCCUCUUUUUCGUUGGUUGUGGCGGACUUGUAUCACUAUGGGCAAUCUCAUACUCUAUGCGGACCACAACAUAAAAAACAUUGUACCUUGUUCUUCUUUUCUUAAGAGUUGUUGUUGAGUUUCCACUUUCCAUUCUAUGGUUUCCCAUUGCCACCAGUACCGUUGCUAUACUCAACGUGUCAUUUAUCUCUCCUAUCAUUGCCUUUCUCCUUAGGCUUAGGAAACUCGAACUCGUCUUUUCUUGAAACAAGCUUGAUUAAAGACUCUGCCAUGACCAUAGCUUUCGACAAUUCUUGGACCCUCAACAUUCCAAUUCCAGUUUAACCCAUGGCUUCAACCUAUCUAUGAAAUAGAAAAAUGUUUUUUUCUCACUCAAAUCCGUUAUUUGGAGCAUCAGUUCAUUGAAAUCAUUCACAAUCUCUCUAAUUCUGCCUUGUCGCGAGAACCAACACAACUUAUCUCGAGCCUCAUUCUUGGCAUAUUAGGAAUAAAACUGCUUCUUGAAUUCUUUUUGGAACUCUUUCUAAGUCUCAAUUGUGGCCUGGCCAUGCCUUUCAUCUAUAGACUUUCGCUACCACCUUAAAAGAGCAAAAUCAAUAAAAUAUCUAGUAGUAGUAUUUAGCUUAGCAUCAUCAUCUUUGAUGUCCAUGACACGAAAGUAUUGCUCCAUCUCCCAUAAGAAGUUGUCCAUUUCCCUUUUGGACCUUUCUCCCCUCAGACUUCUUUGAUUUGGGACAUCUAACUCGCGAUUUAGUGUUGCAUCUAUCACCCCUUUGCCUACAAUGGCUCUGUACACAACGAGCUCUCCCUCAAGCUCGUCAAUUUUUAUGUUCAAAGCCUUCAUUAUGGUAUUAGUUUCCUCAUUCAAAGCCAUCACCAUGGCCUCGAUAGCAUUGUCCCUCAUUGUUAGCUUAUCCACAGUGGAAUUGAGCACCCCUUUCAUCGCUUCCACAUUGGAACCGAGAGAUUGACCACUCGACUUUCCAAAGCCGAUAGCAUGUCCCUCAAUUAGCUAGAUGUCUUGGCACUCUCACGGGUCCCCAUUGGCUCAACCUACUUGCCUAUUCCUUUCGUAAUCUUGAUCAACGCCUGUGAACCUUAGCUCGUAUGCCAACUUUUACGGGCUAGAGCUUUAAUCUUGCAAUCUGUGCGACCUUAGGCGAUUUCUUCACUUCAAAUGCACCUAAGUCAACCUAGCUUAGAGGUGCUCAUAGGCCGGGCCGGGCUCAAAAUUUUUUUAGCCCGUUUCCUAGGCUCGGGUCGACCCAAAAUAUAGGCCUGAGAUUUUGUCCAGGCUUGGCCCGGGGAAUAAAUAUGAAGCCUGGGCCUGAUCGGCCCUGCCCGUUUUUGUUUCAAUUUCUCAUAAAAAGGAAAUAGAGCCUUUGCUUUUCUUAUGCAAAAAGAAAUAGGGUCUGUAGGAAUAGGUGCUUUUGUAGGAGGAAGUUUAUAAAGUAAAGCAAUGAAAAAUAUUAAUUAUGCCUCCAAACCUUUGGUUUAAACUUUAAGCAAAACAAAAACAAAUCAUAUUACUAUAGUUUAAUAGUUUUGGAUGAAAUAUGAUAAAAAUAAUUAACUUUGUAUAACCCAAUAACCCAAUAAAAUAUGUGGCUAUAUGCUAUGUUGCAAAAUAGUAUAUGUCGCUAUGUAAGACAUUGUUUUCAAGCUAACAACAUUACCAACAAAAAAGGCAUUAGUUGUUCAUUAGUUGAUAAUACUGCAUACUUUCAUGCCUAUAGGCUACUUUCAGUGCAAAAAUACAAAUAGAUUUUGUAGUCUUUCAAAAAAUCAAAGGACUAUAACCUAUAAACCUUGAAAAAAAUCUGUAAACCCAUUUGUAUUCACAUCAUUGGCUAAGGCUUAUAUUUACAGUAAAUAUCAGAGAGAAAAAAUAAAGAAAACUAACUAAAUGUCUAAUGAGAAUUUAACCGAAUAAACUAGGGUUAACACUGUUAAUAUACCUUUGAAUUUUGAAAUAAAGAAAACUAACCUCUGAUUCUGGAAAUGGGUGGAGCCGUGGAGGACCGGAGGUAGAUCGGUGUUGGACCGGAGGUGGAUUGGUGCCAGAGGUGAAGGUUGAGAAAAAAAGGGAGGAGGGCAGUCAGGCAAGGGGUUAGGGAUUUAUGGAAGAAGGGAAAUGGGAAAUGGGGGAAAUGGGUAGAGCCGUGGAGGACCAGACGUGGAUCGGUGCCAGACUGGAGGUGGAUCGGUGCCGGAGGUGAAGGUUGAGAAAAAAAUGAAGGAGGGCAGUCGGGCACUAGGGAUUUCUGGAAGAGGGGAAACGGGGAAAUGGGAAAGAAAUGUUUUAAAAAAUAAAAAUAUAUAUAUUAUUUUUGGCCCGACCCGGGUCAAAAAAUUUUGCUCGAGGCCCAACUCGUUUUCUAAAAGGGCAUUAUUUUUUUUUGCCUAAGCCCAUAUUUGGGGCCUAUAUUUUUACCCGAACCCUCCAAUGUUUUGGGCGGGCCGUCGGGCUGGGCCGGGCUGCCCGGCCCAUGAGCACCUCUAACCUAGCUCUUGAAAAAUGAGAAUUUACAAUGAAAAUUCUCUAAGGCACCGAAAAUAAAACAAAAUCAACUCAAAGACAGGGAAACAACGAGAAAACAAAAUAGCCACAAGAAAGCAAAAGCACGUUAAGUGUUUGAGUAAAAAUUCUAAAAGUAUAUUCGCUAAAUUUGAAUGGAAUACAAUGGGAUACUAUGGGAUGUAAUGUGAUAUGAUGGGAUGAUUACAAAUGAGGGGAAAUGUCUCUAGUUAUAGUUAAGCUCUUCAGAUCCUACAAUACAAUUUACUUUACAUUGAUGGUCGAGAUUAAGCAAUUUACAAUUUGAGAUUCUUAAGGGAUUUACUUAUCCCCUAAGAUUACAAAAUUAAAUCUUCUGUGAUUACAAAUAUUUUAAGAUUAGGUUUUAUAUUUAUCAUGGCAACCCUAAUUUUCAAGUGCUUCACCGAGCCACCAAGACUUUAAGCAAAUGAGUUUCUCCACAUGUUAUACGAAUCAGACCAAUUCUAAUGGGUCAAAUGAAUCUCAUUUAAUCAAUUGACCUCCAUGAGACACUCUUUAUAUAUUAAUCAUGGACUUUAAUACGCCACCUGUCACACAAGUGAUAUUAAUAAGCAUAGAUAGACAUGUUAACUUUGCCUAUCUUGCUGGUUGUUGCAAUACAAUUAUUGAUUCAAUGAAUAUUAAUUAAACUUUUGACUAAAUAUUAAUGAACUUUUAAACCUAUACCGACUAAUUAAACAUAUACCAACUAAUUAAAUUAUGAAUUUUGAUGUUCCAUUUAUUAUUAUAAAUUGGAAAUUUUUAAAGCCUCCAUUAAUAAUGAUAUAUGCAUUGCUCAUUAGGCCAGACUGACUUGUUUAAGUCGGCAUAAGAAGCCUAUAAAUAGGUUUAGUUUGUCUACUUAAAUGCGUGAGUUAAGAAAAAUAGUAAAGAAAGCAAUGAAAAGAGAUUUAAAACUUUCUCAAAGCUUUGGUUUUAUUGCUCCUUUAGGCAUCCAAGUUAAUCUAAUUUUUUUCUUCAAUUAGUCCCUCCCUUGAGCUAUUUUAUACUUGCUGUUCCAAUUGCUUUAACAUAGUGAACUAUGGGCAGGUACUAAAUAGUAAACACCGACAAUUUAACGUUUCUAUGUAUAAGCAAUUUCAAGUUUGCAAUAAAUCAAAUUAUAAAAAUAUUGAAAUUUUCAAAAUACACACCAAGAUAAACCCAAAACAAAUAACUACAAAUACUUUCAUGGAAGCUACGAUAAUAGUUUAUAUAAAGAUAUUGAUUCCUAAUAUAAAAUCUAUUUAAAUAUAAUGAAAUUUUAUUACUAAAAAUUUAAUGAAAUUGAUUUUGAUGAAUAAAAUUAUAGAAUAAAAUCAACAUCUAAUUAAUGCAUAGUAUAUAUCAACAUUGGACACAUCCACAUAUACCAAUGGCUGAUCGUUGCGCGUGUAAUGGAACCACAAACAUAAGAAUUUGAUGCAUAUCCAAAGCUUUAACGGUAAAGAAAUCACCAAAAAUCUAUAAAGGAUCGUUAUUCGUGCAUUCGAUAUCGCAAGCAAGAGAAUUUUCAUGUCAAAAUCUCUAUUCACGUCAAGCAUUUGAUGAGACUAGUAAAUGAGUGAGAUGAUGUCAAUUUCAAAAUUUAUUUCUAUAAUGCAAUUAAGAGAUAAUGGACAUGUCAGAAUUUAUUCUAUGAUGCAAUUGUGGGAGUUAAUCAAUGACAUGGUUUUAUAAGCCAAAAUUAGAGAUAAAGAAAGUCGAGCUAUUUUGAUGAUUGACAACGUUGCAGACCGGAUUCAACAAUGGCAGCAAUAUGUGUUCCACUAGUUGCGAUAUGACGUGUAUUUCCAUUCCAGUUGUCUUCUUUGUUUUUAAAAAUAAAGGAAGCAGCGUGAAGAAGCUUCAUCUCAAUCUCACAUUUCAGUGUCCCCUGUUUUAAACAACAAACAUUGAUACAAAAGCACGGAAGGAUAACCCUCUAACUCACAGUUUCAAACUCUCAAUAUAUGCGUGCCUCAAAAUAUACUAACGUUCCUCCUCCUCGAACCUACAAACCAAUCCAUUGUACCCCCACUAUUUACCGAUUACCGUCAAAAUUAAAACUCAUGCUUAUUCUCAUAUCACACUCAUCCGUCGUUCAUUCGAUCCAUACAAAUUCAUUGUGGGGUGUGUUUCGCAUUUAUCAAAAAAUUUGUAAACAUUUAAGACAACAAUCAUCGAACAGUUGAAGAAGGGUCAAAACAAGCCUGAAGUCGUGACAAACAAGUAGGGUUCGUCGGGACGACGCGAUGAAAACCCCAGACAAAUGAGGCACCGAUGUUGUGAUGAGAAGAACCGACACGUCAUGACGUAACAAUGUGUUUUCCUAUUUGGCAGUCGCAUUUUAGACUUCAAGCAAGACUGCUUCUCCUAGUUGGACUCUGAUUAUCCAAGGGACAUUUUAGUAUGAUUAGAACUUAAUCUAAGUUUAUUUAAAAGGUCAUUGUAUCCCUAUUUUUGUCAGGCCAAUCAAUAAAGACUUUUCUUGACGGCGAGAAGAUGUAGUCACAUAUGAGUUUUGGUGAGAGUUUCGUGGUAACUAUAGAGAGAAUUUUGUUCCCGAGUUAGGACUUUAUUUUCAGGGUUUGAGAUUGUACGCUUAGUACAUUUAAGUUUAUUUUCUCCAUAUUGUACUCGUUUGUUUACUCAUUUAGUGAAAACUCGAUACCUCCUUUGCCUAUGGUUUUACGUUUUUAUAGGGUUUUUCACAUAAAAUAUUUCUGUUCGUUUUUCUCUCUAUUUUCUUAUUUUGUUGUUUAUAUGGGUCGAUCCCCAAAAAAUUGGUAUUAGAGCUAGGUUCAACUUCCACAAAUCGACUUGUUUGGUGACACAACAACGAAUUUGGAUAUCAAGAAAUUUGGCAAGAUCACAAAUUUUAGUUUCUGGCAAUUUUAGAUAAUUACAGGUAGUUUAUGUGGUCGAGCACAAGAGUGAUGAUUCAAUGUUCUUCACAUAUAAUCCGAUUGAAGGUGGAGUCGUGUCAGAUGUCAGACAUGUGUCUGAUUUAGAGAAGAUCAUCUCAUCCCCUUUUGGUCUUUAGGACUCAAAUGGUUCGCAAGAUGUUUGAGGUAAGGUUGGUCGUAGAGGAUUACAUUUAGGUAGGAGAGAGUUGAUGUUUUCUCUCCUAUUCAGGUAUUACUGGCCCUUGUUGCGUUAUACAACUUUGAUUUGAAGACUAGGAGCCUUACAAUUUACAAGUUCAAGCAUUGCUUGAGCUUGUUUGGUAUUCUGCAAAAUUCAAGUUUGACUUGUGAUGGGGCAUGAAAAAGGAGGCGUGAUAAAUAUGAGUUAAGGUGGAGAUUUGUGGGGUGUGUCUCCCAUUUAUCGAAAAAUUUGCAAACAUUUAAGACAACAAUCAAUGAACAGCUUAAGAAGGGUCAAAAAGGGCUUGUUGUGACAAACAGGUAGGGCUCGUCGGGACGACGCGUUGGAAAACCUAGAAAAAUGCGACAUUGAUGUUGUGACGAGGAGAACCGACACGUCAUGACGUCACGACUUGUUCUCCUACUUAGUAGUCGCAUUUUAGACUUCAAGCAGGAUUGCUUCUCCUAGUUGGACUCUGAUUAUUUCAAAAAUAUUUUAAUAUGGUUAGAACUCUAAUCUAAGUCUAUUUAAAGGGGUCAUUGUAUCCCUAUUUUGAUAGGCCAAUCAGUAAGGGUUUUUCUUGAGAGCGACAAGAUGUAGUCGCAUAUGAGUUUUGGUGAGAGCUUCGUGAUAAUUGUGGAGAAAAUUUUGUUCCCGAGUUAGGACUUUAUUUUUGGAGUUUGGGAUUGUAUGUUUAGUAUAUUUAAGUUUAUUUUCUCAAUAUUGUAUUCUCGUUUGUUUACUCAUUUAGUGAAAAAUCGAUACCUUAUUUGCUUGUGAUUUUUCCCACUUUGAGGAUUUUCCAUAUAAAAUAUUUAUAUUCAUUUUUCUCUCUAUUUUCUCAUUUUGUUAUUUAUACGGGUCUAUCCCCAACACCCACUUUACAAAAUCCUACCACUUUAAUUGCUGAAAUAUAUUGCUUGUUACGGUGAAAGGUUAAGAACAAACACGGAUCUUUGAAAAUGAUCUAAAAAUCCAAGUAGAGAAUAUAUAUAUAUAUAAAAGGUGUUUUAAUAGGGUUUAUAGAACACCCGAAUCCGGGUUUUUCAUUGUUUUAAGAGGAGUGAGCGUGUUUUUGAAGAAAAAAAUGGAGUUUUGAAGAAAUGGGUGGCCAAAAUCUCCCAAUUUGAGAUAGUGGUAGAAUAAAAAACAUGGCAAAAUCCCAUGGGAUUUUGGAUGGUGUGGAGCGGAACAACAUGGUUCCAAAAAUGAGUUGUAAUGGUAAUCAGAGGCUUUAAUAGAAACAAAUGGCCGUUCCAAUGUAAGGCAUUAUAUAUAUAUAAUUAAUGGUGAGUUUGGAUGGACGAUUGGGUGCGGUGCGUUUAGUUUACUUUUUGUCUCACGCUACAGUAUCGUUACAGUAUCUAAUCUCACCGCCACCACUAUUUUUACACUAGCCACAAAUAAACGCACUGCUCAUCAAAAUUUACCUUAAGUUAUAAUAAAAUUCCAGGAUAACAAUGGAACCUUUGUCUUUUCUAUUGGAUAUAACGUUUUAGAAGCCGCUGAUGAACGAGUAUAAAAAAGAUUUGAUGGAAAUAUAAACAAAAUGCACAUACAUGAUCAAACAAUCAUAUAUUAAUUUCAAACACCUGGGGAAAAAGGAUAGUCAAAAGUUUUAGGUGAAUAUCAUUAAUAAUAAUAAUAAUUCAAAGUAAACUAAUAAAUGAAUCAAUCCAAAUUAGAAUAAUUACGGUGGUUAGUAGUAUUUGAAUAUUUAUGUAUGAUUAUCUACAUAGAAUCUUUAGGUUUAGUUGGAGCUUGGGCUGGAGGUGGAGGUGGAGAAAGAGGAGGGUUCUGGGGGUGUUCAUCAGAAGGGAAAUGUUGAGGAGGUGGUGGGCAUCCAGGAGGAUAGUAAUCUGGACCUUGACCUGCAGGAGGAUAGUAACCUGGAGGAGGUAGUGGAUGCCCAGAGGCGGCGUAACCUGGGGGAGGUGAUUGCUGUGGGUUGGCAGGGUAAGCAGGCAUAUAUGGUGGUGGAUAUGCAUAACCAUAAGGCGGCUGUUGCUGAUGCCAUUGUCCUUGCUGUUGUGCAGGUGGAUACUGCCCAGGUGGAUAUUGCCCAGGUGGAUAUUGCCCAGGUGGAUAUUGCCCAGGUGGAUACUGCCCAGGUGGAUACUGCCCAGGUGGAAGUAGCGGUUGUUGUACAGGUGGAAGUUGCCCAGGUGGAAGCCCCAGUGGUUGUCUUACUGUUGGAGGCACUGCCUGGUCAAACCGUGACAUCUCUUGCACUGCAGGAACCAUCAUUACACCAGGAGCGCCCCAUGGGAUACUAUGCCUGUGGUCUAGUUCAAGCUUGUGCUGAGUCUGCAUUAAUUUUAUAAUGUAUAGUUAGAUUUGAAUUUUAUUAUAGGGUUUAUCUGGCGGGCAUGGACAUUUUUUUAUGUUCUCAUUAGUGUAGAAAGCUAUUUUACAAGCACUUGGUUAAAUUUAUUCCAUACCUGCAUACAAGCGCAGACUCUGAAAAUCAAAACAAAACAAAACACAAUCAAAACACAAUUGAUUAAAUUUAGAACAAGGCAUUUAAAAGAGUGCGUUUUGAAUAAACGUCUUACGUGCAAUAAACGAGAUCAGAAAUACAAGUAAGGAGCUCUGCGAGAUCCUCAAGGUCCGAAUUCCCAGUAAGACACGCUACCAGACGACAUAUGCAUGCAAUUUCUGCAAGAAUGACCAUAAAUGCCUACAUAACACGUUAACAAACAUAUAUUAGAAUACAAGGCCAAGAGCAAAAAAAAGCCAAGUAAAUCUGAUUAUGGAUAGAUUACAAUGAGGCAGUUGUCACAUUUUGUGGUCUUUAUAUUGUACUCAUCUUGAAUAAGAUAGCGAGUGGAUUGAACUGAACUGGAGAAGCAACAGCUGACCUAAAAUCAAUGGAAAUAGAACCAAACUCACUAAUUAAUAUAUAUUGUUAAAUCCCAAAGACAAGAAAGAAUGAAAGAGAUGGUAAAAGGGUUGCUGUAAAUCUAAACCUCCAUGCAGAGACAGAACGUUGGACAUUUAUUCUCCUGACACUUACCGCUGCACGGCAUGUAACCCGCACAGCAUUGGUACCUAAAAUAGUAAUUAAAAUAGCAAGAGUGGGAGACAAAAUUUAGUUGUAAAUUCUUGUUUGGAGAUGAUAUUAGAGGUAUACAUGUUGAAGGUGUUAAGCCCUUUAUACCUUGACAUUUCGUUGUGGAGUGCUCGCUUCCGCAGGGCAAAUGAAAUGCAAUUGGGACUGCCAUUGAGGAAACAUGGAGAUGGAGUUAUUACUUAAUUAUAGGGAGCUCAACCACGGGACCACUAAAAUUCCAAAUUACUGCUGUUUAUGACACGGAUUAAUUUGGUUCUAAUUUUGAUUCAGUCAUUAAUUGCAUGGCUCUAUGUUUAUUUUUAACCUUAUUCUAAGCAAAUUAAUUAUGUCCUAUCUUGAAGUAAAUAAAUUCAAAAAAAAAAAAUCAUCACAAAUGCUAUUAUAUGAUAAACAAGGUUAAAAGUUUAUGAAU